CCUACGGGAGGCAGCAGUGGGGAAUAUUGCACAAUGGGGGAAACCCUGAUGCAGCGACGCCGCGUGAGUGAAGAAGUAUUUCGGUACGUAAAGCUCUAUCAGCAGGGAAGAAAAUGACGGUACCUGACUAAGAAGCCCCGGCUAACUACGUGCCAGCAGCCGCGGUAAUACGUAGGGGGCAAGCGUUAUCCGGAUUUACUGGGUGUAAAGGGAGCGUAGACGGCAGCGCAAGUCUGGAGUGAAAUCCCAUGGCUCAACCAUGGAACUGCUUUGGAAACUGUGCAGCUAGAGUGCAGGAGAGGUAAGCGGAAUUCCUAGUGUAGCGGUGAAAUGCGUAGAUAUUAGGAGGAACACCAGUGGCGAAGGCGGCUUACUGGACUGUAACUGACGUUGAGGCUCGAAAGCGUGGGGAGCAAACAGGAUUAGAUACCCGAGUAGUC
This 440-nucleotide ribosomal RNA is filed under the name uncultured bacterium. RNAcentral's name for it is "partial 16S ribosomal RNA". It matches the Rfam family "Bacterial small subunit ribosomal RNA", at positions 338 to 795 of the family's 1533-position model. The record is from RNAcentral.